AGAGUUGAUCAUGGCUCAGGAUGAACGCUAGCUACAGGCUUAACACAUGCAAGUCGAGGGGCAGCAUUGGAGUAGCAAUACUCAGAUGGCGACCGGCGCACGGGUGAGUAACACGUAUCCAACCUGCCGCUUACUCGGGGAUAGCCUUUCGAAAGAAAGAUUAAUACCCGAUGGUAUAAAGAGUUCGCAUGUUCUCUUUAUUAAAGAAUUUCGGUAAGCGAUGGGGAUGCGUUCCAUUAGAUAGUUGGCGGGGUAACGGCCCACCAAGUCUACGAUGGAUAGGGGUUCUGAGAGGAAGGUCCCCCACAUUGGAACUGAGACACGGUCCAAACUCCUACGGGAGGCAGCAGUGAGGAAUAUUGGUCAAUGGACGAGAGUCUGAACCAGCCCAAGUAGCGUGAAGGAUGACUGCCCUAUGGGUUGUAAACUUCUUUUAUAAGGGAAUAAAGUGAGGGACGUGUCCCUUUUUGUAUGUACCUUAUGAAUAAGGAUCGGCUAACUCCGUGCCAGCCGCCGC
This 517-nucleotide ribosomal RNA is filed under the name uncultured bacterium. RNAcentral describes it as "bacterial SSU rRNA". It matches the Rfam family "Bacterial small subunit ribosomal RNA", at positions 8 to 518 of the family's 1533-position model. The record is from RNAcentral.